RNAcentral lists this microRNA precursor (77 nucleotides) under Suid alphaherpesvirus 1. RNAcentral's name for it is "microRNA prv-mir-LLT3 precursor". Its record names the gene prv-mir-LLT3. Lineage: Duplodnaviria; Heunggongvirae; Peploviricota; Herviviricetes; Herpesvirales; Orthoherpesviridae. The record is from miRBase by way of RNAcentral.
GGUGAGAGGCGAGCCGGGGGGGUCGAGUGGGCCUCGCACUUUACGCGCACACGCCCCUCUCGCGCACCACACACCAC